Molecule: ribosomal RNA, 592 nt
Filed under: uncultured bacterium
Lineage: Bacteria
Description: bacterial SSU rRNA
Rfam family: Bacterial small subunit ribosomal RNA
Source: RNAcentral
GACGGGGGCCCGCACAAGCAGCGGAGCAUGUGGCUUAAUUCGAAGCAACGCGAAGAACCUUACCUGGGCUUGACUUGGAAGUGAAGCUUGGGAAACCAAGUGGCCGAAAGGAGCUUCCACAGGUGGUGCAUGGCUGUCGUCAGCUCGUGCCGUGAGGUGUCAGGUUAAGUCCUGCAACGAGCGCAACCCCCACUGUGUGUUGCCAUCAUUUAGUUGGGCACCCACACAGGACCGCCGGCGCCAAGCCGGAGGAAGGCGGGGAUGACGUCAAGUCAUCAUGCCCCUUACGCUCAGGGCUGCACACGUGCUACAAUGGCCGGAACAAAGGGUUGCCACCCCGUGAGGGGGAGCGGAUCCCAAAAACCGGCCCCAGUUCGGACUGUAGGCUGCAACCCGCCUACACGAAGUCGGAGUUGCUAGUAAUCGCGGAUCAGCACGCCGCGGUGAAUGCGUUCCCGGGCCUUGUACACACCGCCCGUCACACCACCCGAGUCGUCUGCACCCGAAGUCGCUGGCUGAACCAUCUGGACAGAGGCGCCGAAGGUGUGGGGGGCGAGGGGGGUGAAGUCGUAACAAGGUAGCCGUACGGAAA